UACGUAGGGGGCGAGCGUUGUCCGGAUUUAUUGGGCGUAAAGAGCUCGUAGGCGGCUCGGUAAGUCGGAUGUGAAACCUCCAGGCUCAACCUGGAGACGCCAUCUGAUACUGCCGUGGCUUGAGUCCGGUAGAGGAGCAGGGAAUUCCUGGUGUAGCGGUGAAAUGCGCAGAUAUCGGGAGGAACACCUAUGGCGAAGGCAGCUCGCUGGGACGUUACUGACGCUGAGACGCGAAAGCGUGGGGAGCAAACAGG
This 254-nucleotide ribosomal RNA is filed under the name uncultured bacterium. Its description in RNAcentral is "partial 16S ribosomal RNA". It matches the Rfam family "Bacterial small subunit ribosomal RNA", at positions 524 to 776 of the family's 1533-position model. The record is from RNAcentral.